Molecule: long non-coding RNA, 251 nt
Filed under: Trifolium pratense (red clover)
Lineage: Eukaryota; Viridiplantae; Streptophyta; Magnoliopsida; Fabales; Fabaceae
Description: long non-coding RNA (TPRA_LNC010620)
Source: RNAcentral
AAGAAUACUCAGGUUACUUCUGAAACAACAACUUUAUUAUUAUGUAGAGGUGCUAGUGGAAGUUGAGAACCGGUGGAGUAUUUGGGUCAUGGACUUUUGAUGCUCCUAUCACAUGUGUUCAAAGAAUGAAUACUUUGAGACUCUAGAGCUUGAAGUUUCAAGGUAUGGGUUCAGUUUGUCUUACGAAGUUUGACAAUCGUGAGUUUCUUUACACGAUGUGAGGUAUGUUUCUGAACUUAGAUUCAAAGAUA